AUUGAACGCUGGUGGUAUGCUUAACACAUGCAAGUCGGACGGAAACGAUGGAAGCUUGCUUCCAGGCGUCGAGUGGCGGACGGGUGAGUAACGCGUAGGAAUCUGCCUAAUAGUGGGGGACAAAGUGGGAAACUACUGCUAAUACCGCAUAAUACCUGAGGGUUAAAGCUGGCUUCGGCUGGCGCUAUUAGAUGAGCCUGCGUUAGAUUAGCUAGUUGGUAGGGUAAUGGCUUGCCAAGGCGACGAUCUAUAGCUGUUCUGAGAGGAAGAUCAGCCACACUGGGACUGAGACACGGCCCAG
Molecule: ribosomal RNA, 301 nt
Filed under: uncultured bacterium
Lineage: Bacteria
Description: bacterial SSU rRNA
Rfam family: Bacterial small subunit ribosomal RNA
Source: RNAcentral